AAGUGACGUCCAACAAGGACUUCCGGAGUCGGCCUCGGAGCUGGGCUUCCUGGCGUUGGGGUUGGAGACUGUGUUGUCUUUGCGGUUUUAGUUAGCGAGCAGUUAGGGUGGAGUCGGCUUCGUGGAUUCCGCUCUCAAACCAGCAAGUGUGAUUUGAAUUCUAAAACACUGAGCUUUCCGAGUCGAAAGGUUCCAAGUUUAUUCCGACCUACGGAAGCCCAGGAGGACCAGGAUUACCUCUGCCAAUAGGUGCGUGCCGGGCCGCGAUGCGCGACCGUAAGACGCUGCGUUUCCGAAGCUGUCGCAGGCUCCCGGGUGCCAGAGCCGGAGAGGUACCCUCUGUCCAGGCCUCCCCUCUCAGCCCCCAGUUUUUUCCUACUUUUGCUUUUCAGGAGUCGCCCAGCACGACUUGAAAGGAGGAGAAGGGCCUGCUGGAAAGGAUGCUAGAGCCUGGCAGUGACCAUUUGGGGGCCCCUGGGCAUUCAGUUAACUUUUUGGGCCCCGUUUCCUUAUUACACUUGGCUCUAGAUUUGUUGUGCGUUUCGGUGAGAAACACCUGUACGUGGUGCUUCCUGGGCGCCUCCUCCCUACUUGUGAAAAAUCGUCUCCGUCUGAAACGAGGGAACUACUUUCCUAGCAAACUGCCGUUUUCCAUACUACUCACGCCCGCAAACCGUGUGUUACGAGUUCACAACGUUUUCUCCGUCAGUAAUCCCGCGUAUUACUCUCCCAACCCUUUCCCACUGAGUCUUGUGCUGAGAAAUGGUGGCUUAGCCACGCAAACGUUUACUGAGCAUCUACUAUUUGCUAGGCGCUGUUAGGCACCAUGCUGGCGGUGGAGGUAAAGAUGAGUAAGACAUUGGCCUUGCGCGGGAGGAGCUCCUGGUCCAAAGACGACCACAGAGGUAUACUACAAGAAUUGAGAGAGCUAAGGUCACCUCCAGCCUCCGCGGGAUAAAUGCUCUGCUGGAAUUCCUGAGCAGCACAGCCAGCCCCAGUUCUAAUUUGAGAACCUGGGGUGAUGAAUGGCAAGAAUGACAGAAAUGAAGACGUCUGUAGCACUAAGGACACCUUUUAACUGUGUCACAUUUGCCUAACUUUGCCUUAAAUGUAUCAUGGUAACUGAUAGUUUUGACUGAAAAAUAAAGAUCACUGAUAUGG
This is a long non-coding RNA of Sapajus apella (tufted capuchin), 1161 nucleotides long. RefSeq lists it as uncharacterized. Lineage: Eukaryota; Metazoa; Chordata; Mammalia; Primates; Cebidae. The record is from RefSeq and is a predicted model, not a curated record. The transcript is spliced from 2 exons.